CCUACGGGAGGCUGCAGUGGGGAAUAUUGCACAAUGGGGGAAACCCUGAUGCAGCGACGCCGCGUGAGUGAAGAAGUAAUUCGUUUUGUAAAGCUCUUUCAGCAGGGAAGAAAAUGACGGUAUCUGAGGAAGAAGCCCCGGCUAACUACGUGCCAGCAGCCGCGGUAAUACGUAGGGGGCAAGCGUUACUCGGAAUUACUGGGCGUAAAGGGAGCGUAGACGGGAGUGCAAGUCAGGCGUGAAAGGCUAGGGCUUAACCCCCGGACUGCUCUGGAAACUGUGCGGCUGGAGUGCGGGAGAGGUAUGUGGAAUUCGUGGUGUAGCGGUAAAAUGCGUAGAUAUUAAGAGGAACACCAAUUGCGAAGGCGGCUUACUGGAACGUAACUGACGUUGAGGCUCGAAAGCGUGGGGAGCAAACAGGAUUAGAUACCCCGGUAGUC
This 440-nucleotide ribosomal RNA is filed under the name uncultured bacterium. Its description in RNAcentral is "partial 16S ribosomal RNA". It matches the Rfam family "Bacterial small subunit ribosomal RNA", at positions 338 to 795 of the family's 1533-position model. The record is from RNAcentral.